This 1229-nucleotide long non-coding RNA is filed under the name Chrysemys picta bellii (western painted turtle). RNAcentral describes it as "lncRNA (ENSCPBG00000020520.1)". Lineage: Eukaryota; Metazoa; Chordata; Testudines; Emydidae. The record is from RNAcentral.
CAGGAACGUGGGUUACUUGGGCUUCCAGUUGAUGUAGACUGUAGACUCUUCCUUGAUUCACAUACUCUCAGUUGUGCUGUCUUAACUUAAAACAAAAGCAAAAAACGGUUCCGGAGAAGUUAGAGAAUUGUGACGCCAAAAUUGAUUACCUGUGUAGUUCUAGUAGGCGACCCUACCGUAUAGGAUGAGAUAUUCAUACUUUGCUUUGCAUUUGCAGCUUAUGAGGAUGCUGGCAAAGUGCUGCCUCUUUUAAAAAGUUGAAUCCAGACUGUUAGACAUCAGCAAGAUCACUCUGGUAUUGGAAUCUAACCAAGCACAAAACAUCCUCAGCCUUCCCGGCAAAGCACAGAUGGCUGCAGAUGCUGGUGCUGUGGCUAGCCAGCUUUUUCAGAGGAAAGGCCAGUUUGUCGUGCAAGCCACACUCCUCAGAUAAAACCCUACUCCCCAACAAGAAGCUGUGAAAAAGCCCAGGUGGUGAAGAGCUCAAGCAGAUGAGCUCCCAUGACUCCCAAGUUUCACAGUUGGAUUCUCAAGCCCAUACACACAAAACUCUGGUUCUCCCAGACAUCCCCACCACCCUUGAUGGCAAAGAGUCCAACUCCGUUUGGGAGAAAAAAGAAACUGAAGAUUAAAGGGUUUGACACAAUUACACAGUUUUAGGGGCCUUGUACACCGAUCUGUAGAAAGCAGCAUACAUUUCCAAAAGUACAUACAUAGAUCAUACAACAACUAUAGACUAAACCACGUUCAACCAUGUAUGUCUGUUUUAAAAAAAAUUCUAGGGUUACAAUUCCACAGGAAAAAAAUCCUCUACCAUCUGUACUGGAGUACUGCUCAAAUGACUAUGGCAUAAACAAAGCCAGCCAAAACAAGAAUCCUGGGAGUGACUCAUAGAUUUAAAGGUCAGAAGGGAACAUCAUGAUCAUCUAGUCUGAAUUCCCGCACAUCACAGGCCACAGAACCUCACCCACCCACUCCUGUAAUAGACCCCUCACCUCUGGCUGAGUUACUGAACUCCUCAAAUCAUGGUUUAAAGACUUCAAGUUACAGGGAAUUCACCAUUUACACAAGUUUAAACCUGCAAGUGACCCAUGCCCCAUGCUGCAGAGGAAGGUGAAAAAAACCCAGGGACAAUGAGAGGCGGUAAGAUCCUCUUCUGGGAGCAUAUGAUAGUAAUGCCAUUCUGGAAGAAGCUCAGAGAAAGCGGUCACUUCUGAUUACUAUGUAAU